UUUUGUCCUAUCAGAGAAGAAGAUCAAUACAGAUUUGCCUUUCAAUAUUGUGACAACAUUCUUCUCGCAUCUCAAGAUAAAGCACAACACUUGAGUGUACUCACUCGGUUGUUGAAAAUACUCCAAGAGGCGGGUUUCCUCUUGAACAAACGAAAGGUCCAAUUGUUUCAAUCGGAAGUUACAUUUUAAGGUCAAAGUAUAGGUCGUGAGGGAAAGAGACCUCUUCCAGACUGGGUCAUAGCCAUCACUCAUUUAAAUAAGCCAACCAAAGUUACUGGUUUAAGAUCAUUAAUGGGGCUAUUUAAUUUUAAUCGGAUGUAUAUCCCAGAUUUUUCUGAUUUGGCUAAACCUCUAACAGAGGCUCUUAAAGGAGGCCUUCCGGGUGCUUCCCCUUUGGAGUGGACAGCGGACAUGGCUGAGUCCUUUACUCUCCUCUCCCGCGUUAUAUCACCCCGACAUGACAAAGACAUUCCAUGUAUGGACACAUGUUGGGCCAAGUACUUAUAACUGUGUGCUGGGACAAUGUAAAGGUGACAAAAGUUAUGGCAUAGUUGGGUAUUAUUCAACUUUGAUUCCUUCUUCCAUGAAUGGACAGAUGCCCUGUUUGAUGGCCUUGGACUGUGCUGAGUGGGCGUUGAAGGUCACUGAGGCCAUCGUCUGUUACAAUCAGAUGAUCCUUCACUCUCCACAUCGUUUUCUACGCAUGCUCGCAGAGACAAAAAUAAAGUCGAUUUCAAAUCAACGACGUGCAAAAUGGGAAACUGCUCUCAUGAACCCUCAGCUCACUGUUGUUGCAGACAACCGGACAAAUUCUGCCUCCCUAAUGGAGAAUGAGGGGAGUGCACAUGACUGCGCCGAGGUAAUUAUCUGUGACAGGGGACAUUUUGUCAGAGAUGAACCGUUUUCAGAUUCUCUGGACAUGUUCGUGGAUGGCAGCAGUUUCUACGAGGGUGACACACGCUACACGGGGUGGGUGGUAGUAGAGGGGAAGACGGGCGGGGUCUUGGCUGAGGGGUCGCUUCGGGAGGAAGUGCUCAGAUAGCUGAAUUGCAUGCUUUGAAAGCUGCCUUAAAUCUGGCUCUUAAACUAACUGCCAGUGAAAAUAGCUCCACUAAUGUAAAUAUUUUUACUGAUAGUGCAUACAGCUACCAUGUAGUGCAGAGUUAUGGCCCUGUUUGGAAACGUUGUUGUUAUUUGACCACAGCGGGUAUGCCAAUAACUCAUCAAACCAUGAUUAAAGAAAUUCUUGACACGUGUGAGAAAAUUCCACCAAACAGUGUCGCGGUAUGUAAAGUCACAGGUCACAGUACAUUCAAUGAUUGGUUGGCAAAAGGAAACUCUCUAGCUGAUAAGGCUGCGAGAGAAGGUGCAAAGGGUGUGGCACUUGAGGAAGUAGCUGUUAUUUUCCCUGUUCAUCCUGAUUGCACGGGUUCCAAAACUUUAUCUAAAUUGUACACAACUGAGGAUCGUGAAAUGUGUCAGAAAUUAGGAGCUACCUUAACUGAAGAAGGGGUUUAUGCCCUGAAUGAAAAGUCAUUCCAUCUAGCGGAUAUCAAACUGAACUAAUUGAUUUGUACCACAGCAUUGCACACCAAGGGGUUCAGAAAACAUAUGCUAUGUUACAACAAACAUGGUUUUGGUCAGAGAUGUUACAAACUGUGAAGGAUAGACUGUCCAGAUGUAUCCACUGUUUGCAAACGCAGCCAUAAUUUGGAAAAGUUAAAUUCCCAAUUGGUCACAGUCCUCGCCCGCGAGGACCAUUCACACAUUUACAAUUGGAUUUUAUUUCGUUACCUUCUGAUCAUGGGUACAAAUAUGUACUAGUUUUGUUGUAAAUUUUCCAGAUGCUCUGAAAGGGUGUAUUGGAUUUUCAGUCCCUCUCAUUGCACCAUGGUUCAGGAAUGAUAGAUUUUCAUAAAAUAGGGGUAUCUUUACUGGGAUUUAGGUUAUAAACAAUGUCUGUAUUUGGUAUCUUUGAGGUGACUGAGGGUCUGACCUAUGUCAGGAAUGCAAUAACAGUGAUUAUUCAUUUAGCCCGGCUUCCAGAGAAUAAUACAUACAUACGUUUAUGGCAAUUAAUUUAUUUUACAAUAUAACAAAUUAACCAAAAUUCAUCAUAGUUGUAUAAGACAUAUAAAAAGAAAGUACAACUAAGUCAAAUUUCUUUCUAAAAGGUCUUUGGGUUUUAACUGUACCUUCCCCUAAAGCUCAGUUGUUGUGCUCAGGUCCUUCGGGUCCACUGAAAGACACUUUACAGGAGUAUCUUAAAGUACUCACGUGCGCAUUAAGAAUGCCAAUUUGAGUGCCCUCAGUGCUCAAAAUGCUUGAGAUCUUAAAACACUAUAUUCAAUGUAAAGGUUAAAAAUCACGUACAAGUGGGGGACGAAGUGAUGAUACAGAAAAUAGGGAACUUAGGACCAAUGUCCUCCAAGUAUGAGGGUCCUUAUUCGGUAUUGUUGACUACUCCAACAUUUCUUCUUGUUGAAAUCGAGCCAGGUUUGACUCGAUGGAUGCAUCUUGCACAAGUGAAGCCUCUGUCGCCGCUUGCUGAUACUAACUCUCUUUCUAAUGUGAUUUAGUCCAACAGGUGCAGUAUUUUAUAUCCAAGGAAUGUCUGCUAAGGAAGAACAAUGACUAAUUGUUUCCUCUUUUUAGGUUCUCAACUAUGAUUCCAUCCGGACCUAUUGUGUUUAAUAUAUAUAUAUAUAUAUAAAAAAAAAAAGAGAAACUGAAAACCAUGGUGUUUAUGUUUAUGUGUACUGGUAUUGUCCUGUUUAGUUUGUCUAUGUGUCGUUAUGUGUGUGUUUUUGUUGUGUUUUUAUCCAAAUAUUUCUGCUCCUACUAUUCUAUAUCUCUAAAAGUGCAGCUCAUUGACAUUCUGGGAGUGGUUGCUGUGCUCGUGGCUGGACAUCAGUGUUUCAUCGCAUCAUCAUAACAUUACUCGUUAACUAAUUCUACGUCAUCUGAGAGACCUGUGCUAAAGUCUACCAGCUGAUAUAUAUAGAUUUACAUAUAGAUCAAAAGAUAUUUUUAUUCUCCCAUUUGUAGUGAUGAGGAAAUCUAUACCUUACAGGUGAAGGGUAAGGAAAGGUAUGAGAUGUUGAAAACGAUCAACGAAAGUUUGGAAAUUAAUAUCUUCAACUGCUAUCUCCCAAGGGCAAGAAGAGAAAGAACAAUGAUAGAGUUUAGAGUUGGGAAAGAUGGACGGCUGUGUUAAGUCCUCAACCCAGCAAAAGUCCAGGGGACGCCAGGGGUCGAAUUUCCUUAGGAGUUCUCGUCUGGCCAUCUUGGUGAAGAUCUUUGUUAAUUUUAAGGUAGCUGGGGUUAGAGAGGUAUCUACAGUACUAUCUAUCUGAAAUUGUUUUAUUGAUUUUCUACAUUUUCAUGUAUGCAUCAUGUAUUUUUCUUUUGAAUUACUCUGUAUUUUUUGGUUUUGAUUUAAGGAAAAGGUUGUGGCGAGUCUUUUGAUAAGACUCGAGUGGGGGAUUGGUGUGUGGAGAUUCUAAGAAAUCCACAUGGUGAUAGAGAUUCUGAGAAGAAGUCCACGUAUUUAAAUUAAACCCAAGUGUUGUUGAGAGAUUCUGAGAAGUCACGUACUCAGAAUGUGUUCUAUUCAUAAUGAUAAGUUUCAUUUCAAAAGUUAAAAAAAUAAUAUUUCAUGUCUCAUAUAUAUAUAUAUAUUAAUAGGUUUCAUUUUUAUAUUCAAAAAUGUUUUUGGUAAACUUUAUGGUAUAUUUCAUAUGUAAUUUCACAGUAUUUCUAACUAAGUAGUCAGCUGAGUCUGUUUUGCAUAUGAAGUUGAACUGUAUGUAUUGUUCUUUUGUAUCAAUAUUUCUUAGAAUUAUCAGUAUGAUACUUUGAAUCUAAAAGAGGAAGAAGUCCAAAAUCGAGACAUUGACUAGACUAUUUUUAAAGGUCAGGUGUUAUUAGUGAUAGCCAGAUGACGACUUAUGUCUAGAACAACAGUAUAUAAGAUAGACUCUGCAAAAUAGAAUAGGGUUUUGACUUUCUGAGACUCUGGUCUCUCUAUCUUUUCAGCUCACUUCCUCUUCUUUGGCUUCACUCGACAACUCUUAGACUCAGACUUAGAACUCUUACAGGUUUUUAUUCAAAUUCAGAUACCUUGAAAUUCAGAUACUUUGAUACUCUGAUACUUUAAUAUUUUAAUAUUAAUAUUUUGGUACUUUUGAUUCGAACAGAAUAAUUGUUUAUGUUUUAAUUACAAUUGUAUUAAUGUUUUGAUUAAUACUGGUUGGGUUCAAUCCAUCAUAAAUUGAUUGUUAUUAAAAAUGUACUAACAUUGGAUUUACA
Molecule: long non-coding RNA, 4311 nt
Organism: Cyprinus carpio carpio
Lineage: Eukaryota; Metazoa; Chordata; Actinopteri; Cypriniformes; Cyprinidae
Source: Ensembl